This 427-nucleotide ribosomal RNA is filed under the name uncultured bacterium. Its description in RNAcentral is "bacterial SSU rRNA". It matches the Rfam family "Bacterial small subunit ribosomal RNA", at positions 355 to 775 of the family's 1533-position model. The record is from RNAcentral.
UUUCGAAUCAUUCACAAUGGGCGAAAGCCUGAUGGUGCGACGCCGCGUGAGGGAUGAAGGUCUUCGGAUUGUAAACCUCUGUCACCGGGGAAGAAACGCUUCAAUUUAACAGAUUGAAGCCUGACUUAACCCGGAGAGGAAGCAGUGGCUAACUCUGUGCCAGCAGCCGCGGUAAUACAGAGACUGCAAGCGUUAUUCGGAUUCACUGGGCGUAAAGGGUGCGCAGGCGGUUGGGUGUGUCAGAUGUGAAAUCCCGAGGCUCAACCUCGGAACUGCGUCUGAAACUACUCGACUAGAGUAUUGGAGAGGGUAACGGAAUUCACGGUGUAGCAGUGAAAUGCGUAGAUAUCGUGAGGAACACCAGAGGCGAAGGCGGUUACCUGGACAAUUACUGACGCUCAGGCACGAAAGCAUGGGGAGCAAAAGG